RNAcentral lists this unclassified non-coding RNA (311 nucleotides) under Hevea brasiliensis (rubber tree). The record is from RNAcentral. Lineage: Eukaryota; Viridiplantae; Streptophyta; Magnoliopsida; Malpighiales; Euphorbiaceae.
CGAAGGAAAAUAAUAAAACAGAUUGAAUACAACAGAUGUUUAUACAGAUCAGGUCUGAACAUUUUGCAUAUUAUUUCUAUUACAUAUGUAUAAGCUUACAACAAUAAAACAAACAUGUGAAAAAAAUCUCUGCACCUGAUUUAGCUACUUCUUUUGCUCCUUAAGACUGGCACCAUUCUUCUAAUGUAGGAGUCGCCACACCCACAUUUUUCAUGUCAAAUAUGUUCGCAAUGUGUAUAUCAGGAGUAGCAGCAGCUGUGGCAUCUAUAAUGACCGUCACGCGUUGAUAGUCCAAUGCUACAGCAUCAAAG